RNAcentral lists this ribosomal RNA (114 nucleotides) under Mesoptychia sp. Mamontov 392-3. Its description in RNAcentral is "partial 28S ribosomal RNA". It matches the Rfam family "Eukaryotic large subunit ribosomal RNA", at positions 1 to 113 of the family's 3401-position model. The record is from RNAcentral. Lineage: Eukaryota; Viridiplantae; Streptophyta; Jungermanniopsida; Jungermanniales; Jungermanniaceae.
UGGACCUCAGAUCAGGCAAGAUUACCCGCUGAGUUUAAGCAUAUCACUAAGCGGAGGAAAAGAAACUAACUAGGAUUUCCCUAGUAGCGGCGAGCGAACCGGAAGGAGCCCAGC